UGCUACCCAUCAAAUUCUGCUACCUAGUGGUUCUGCGCAUGCGCACGUGUUCAUGCGUGGGCGCCCAUCAGUUUCUGGCGGAUGGUUCCAGAUGGAAGCGAUGGCCGACGUCGUUGCAGCUGUAUGCUGACGGCAAAGGGCCUAUCGUAGCCGCGGAUUCACCUGAUGCUACGAGGCAAAGGAGACGUGCUCUGCUACUUCAUCUUGCUGGACCAGACGUACAGGACAUCUUAUCAACUCUUCCGGACACGGUGUCCUCGGUCAUGGCUCAAUGUUGGAUACCGAGUGACUGCACCACUGGGCCGACGCUAGGUAGGCUGGUGAGGAAAGGGGAGCUUUACUUUACAGUAUGUGUGUGUUAGGGCUGCACGAUUAUUGCCAAAAGGAUUAUCACGAUUAUUUUGAUCAAUAUUGAUAUCACGAUUAUUGACCACGUUUAUUCAUUGAAAAAAAAAAAAAAUCAAAUUUCUACCACCCCCUAGUGGUAGGAGCCACACACUGUGCUCAGAAGCAGAUAGCCGCCAGGCCAAGCCCCCCCCCCCUGUGUGCAGGAUGGACUCACGCAGUCGCAGACAGGUGUACAGGGAGCGCUUGGUUUGCUUUGCAGCAGAGGUAGAGCGUAUACUGCAUGGGCGGGGCUCGUUUCUUUUUUGGUUUUCUUUUUUUUGCGGAUGCAUUACUUAAAGGCGACCUAUUAUGCUUUUUUGA
Molecule: long non-coding RNA, 708 nt
Organism: Gadus morhua (Atlantic cod)
Lineage: Eukaryota; Metazoa; Chordata; Actinopteri; Gadiformes; Gadidae
Exons: 3
Source: RefSeq, a predicted model, not a curated record